AUCAACUUUCGAUGGUAGGAUAGAGGCCUACCAUGGUGGUAACGGGUAACGGGGUGUUAGGGCACGACACCGGAGAGGGAGCCUGAGAAACGGCUACCACAUCCAAGGAUGGCAGCAGGCGCGCAAAUUACCCAAUCCCGACACGGGGAGGUAGUGACAAUAAAUAACAAUACGGGGUUCUUUCGGAUUUCGUAAUUGGAAUGAGUACAAUUUAAAUCUCUUAACGAGGAACAAUUGGAGGGCAAGUCUGGUGCCAGCGGCCGCGGUAAUUCCAGCUCCAAUAGCGUAUAUUAAAGUUGCUGCAGUUAAAAAGCUCGUAGUUGAAUUUCGGGACCAUCAUGUCGGUCGUGCCUCGGUACGUACUGGCAUUGUUGGUUUCUCCCUUCUGACGAACCAUGAUGUCAUUUAUUUGGUGUUGUGGGGAAUCAGGAUUGUUACUUUGAAAAAAUUAGAGUGUUUAAAGCAGGCUCACGCUUGAAUACAUUAGCAUGGAAUAAUGAAAUAGGACGUUUGAUUCUAUUUUGUUGGUUUCUAGGAUCGACGUAAUGAUUAAUAGGGAUAGUUGGGGGCAUUAGUAUUCAAUUGUCAGAGGUGAAAUUCUUGGAUUUAUUGAAGACUAACUACUGCGAAAGCAUUUGCCAAGGAUGUUUUCAUUAAUCAAGAACGAAAGUUAGGGGAUCGAAGACGAUCAGAUACCGUCGUAGUCUUAACCAUAAACUAUGCCGACUAGGGAUCGGAUGAUGUUAAUUUUUUAAUGACUCAUUCGGCGCCUUACGGGAAACCAAAGUGUUUGGGUUC
Molecule: ribosomal RNA, 798 nt
Filed under: uncultured Glomus
Lineage: Eukaryota; Fungi; Glomeromycota; Glomeromycetes; Glomerales; Glomeraceae
Description: SSU rRNA
Rfam family: Eukaryotic small subunit ribosomal RNA
Source: RNAcentral